This 843-nucleotide ribosomal RNA is filed under the name Triticum aestivum (bread wheat). RNAcentral describes it as "partial small subunit ribosomal RNA". The record is from RNAcentral. Lineage: Eukaryota; Viridiplantae; Streptophyta; Magnoliopsida; Poales; Poaceae.
AUGAUCACAGGGCAGGAGGACAAACUGAAGAUCGCAUGGGAUUUCUUCAACACCCUGAUUGGAACUCCUAAAGAGCGGGCCGCAGCCAUCAAUAUUCAAGCACUCAGGUACACACCUAUGCUGCAGCACCUGGCCGACCUUGACGCCCUUAUUACCAAAGAGGAGGUGUUUGCAACCAUUAAUGAUAUGGCCAUGGAAAAGGCACCUGGACCUGAUGGAUACACCAUGUUGUUCUUCAGAGCAUGUUGGUCUAUCAUCAAAGGGGAUGUGAUGGCCGCCAUCAACAAGCUGCAGAACCUCAACUUCAACAAUUUCCAACAUCUAAACUCAGCUUGCAUUAUCCUACUGCCAAAAAUUGAAGGUGCCAAGAAGAUGGCUGACUUCAGACCAAUUAGUUUGGUACACGCCAUUGCAAAAAAUUUCACCAAAUUGCUUGCACGACGGCUGCAACCCAAGAUGGAUAAGUUGGUCGCCCCAUGCCAAACUGCCUUCAUCAAGCAGAGAUCAAUUCUCGACAAUUUUGUGUUUGUUCGUGGUCAAAUAAAGUGCCUGAAAAUGUCUAGAACACCAUCAGUACUAGUCAAAGUGGAUAUUGCAAAGGCCUUUGACAGUAUUUCUUGGGAAUUCUUGCUGCAACUUCUACAACAACGAGGGUUCAGUAGCCGGUGGACUGGUUGGAUUGCAGGGCUGUUGAGGACAUCCUCUACCAGAGUAUUGAUCAAUGGAGAGCUAACCGAGGUCAUACAGAAUGCGAAAGGGUUGCGCCAAGGAGACUCAUUAUCACCACUCCUGUUUGUCAUUGCUAUGGACACCUUGGCAUCAAUGGUGAACUAUGCAACGUAG